RNAcentral lists this ribosomal RNA (1360 nucleotides) under uncultured bacterium. RNAcentral's name for it is "bacterial SSU rRNA". It matches the Rfam family "Bacterial small subunit ribosomal RNA", at positions 28 to 1381 of the family's 1533-position model. The record is from RNAcentral.
GAUGAACGCUAGCGGCAGGCUUAACACAUGCAAGUCGAGGGGCAUCGGGAGGGAAGCUUGCUUUCCUUGCCGGCGACCGGCGCACGGGUGAGUAACACGUAUGCAACCUGCCCUCUUCAGGGGGACAACCUUCCGAAAGGGAGGCUAAUCCCGCGUAUAUCGGUUUCGGGCAUCCGAGAUCGAGGAAAGAUUCAUCGGAAGAGGAUGGGCAUGCGGCGCAUUAGCUUGACGGCGGGGUAACGGCCCACCGUGGCGACGAUGCGUAGGGGUUCUGAGAGGAAGGUCCCCCACACUGGUACUGAGACACGGACCAGACUCCUACGGGAGGCAGCAGUGAGGAAUAUUGGUCAAUGGGAGAGAUCCUGAACCAGCCAAGCCGCGUGAGGGAAGACGGCCCUAUGGGUUGUAAACCUCUUUUGUCGGAGAACAAAACCCGGGACGUGUCCCGGACUGCGUGUAUCCGAAGAAAAAGCAUCGGCUAACUCCGUGCCAGCAGCCGCGGUAAUACGGAGGAUGCGAGCGUUAUCCGGAUUUAUUGGGUUUAAAGGGUGCGUAGGCGGUCCGUUAAGUCAGCGGUAAAAUUGCGGGGCUCAACCCCGUCGAGCCGUUGAAACUGGCAGACUUGAGUUGACGAGAAGUACGCGGAAUGCGCGGUGUAGCGGUGAAAUGCAUAGAUAUCGCGCAGAACUCCGAUUGCGAAGGCAGCGUACCGGCGCCAGACUGACGCUGAGGCACGAAAGCGUGGGGAUCGAACAGGAUUAGAUACCCUGGUAGUCCACGCAGUAAACGAUGAAUGCUGGUUGUCCGGGUCGAAUGAGAUCUGGGCGGCGAAGCGAAAGCGAUAAGCAUUCCACCUGGGGAGUACGCCGGCAACGGUGAAACUCAAAGGAAUUGACGGGGGCCCGCACAAGCGGAGGAACAUGUGGUUUAAUUCGAUGAUACGCGAGGAACCUUACCCGGGCUCAAACGGGAGUGGAAUGGACCAGAGACGGUUCAGCCUACGGGCCGCUUCCGAGGUGCUGCAUGGUUGUCGUCAGCUCGUGCCGUGAGGUGUCGGCUUAAGUGCCAUAACGAGCGCAACCCCCGCCGGCAGUUGCUAACGGGCAAUGCCGAGGACUCUGCCGGGACUGCCGCCGCAAGGCGAGAGGAAGGCGGGGAUGACGUCAAAUCAGCACGGCCCUUACGUCCGGGGCGACACACGUGUUACAAUGGGCGGUACAGCGGGAAGCCAGGCGGCGACGCCGAGCGGAACCCGAAAGCCGUUCUCAGUUCGGAUCGGAGUCUGCAACCCGACUCCGUGAAGCUGGAUUCGCUAGUAAUCGCGCAUCAGCCAUGGCGCGGUGAAUACGUUCCCGGGCCU